RNAcentral lists this ribosomal RNA (391 nucleotides) under uncultured bacterium. RNAcentral describes it as "bacterial SSU rRNA". It matches the Rfam family "Bacterial small subunit ribosomal RNA", at positions 28 to 420 of the family's 1533-position model. The record is from RNAcentral.
GACGAACGCUGGCGGCGUGCUUAACACAUGCAAGUCGAGCGGUAAGGCCCUUUCGGGGGUACACGAGCGGCGAACGGGUGAGUAACACGUGGGUGGCCUGCCCUCAGCUCUGGGAUAAGCCUGGGAAACCGGGUCUAAUACUGGAUAUGACUCCAUGACGCAUGUUGUGGGGUGGAAAGCCUUGUGCGGCUGAGGAUGGGCCCGCGGCCUAUCAGCUUGUUGGUGGGGUGANGGCCUACCAAGGCGACGACGGGUAGCCGGCCUGAGAGGGCGACCGGCCACACUGGGACUGAGACACGGCCCAGACUCCUACGGGAGGCAGCAGUGGGGAAUCUUGCGCAAUGGGCGAAAGCCUGACGCAGCGACGCCGCGUGAGGGAUGACGGCCUCGG